Molecule: non-coding RNA, 2274 nt
Organism: Taeniopygia guttata (zebra finch)
Lineage: Eukaryota; Metazoa; Chordata; Aves; Passeriformes; Estrildidae
Source: RefSeq, a predicted model, not a curated record
AAAUUUUAAAAACCAAGUGAUUGGUGUUUUUCACACCCGUGAACCUGCAGGGGGAUCUCUGCAGCCCCAUUGUUAUAUGUUAUGGAAUUAUUCGUGAUUAUGUAAAAUAUACAUUAAUAAGUUGUGGUCGUACAAAAAGGUUCUUAAAGGUUUAAAAGACCACAAGCUGCAGCCGGGAAAAGAUUGCAAAACCACAGAUUGCAGGAGAAAGAAAAUCCUAGUUUACAAACGAAAAUUUCGACCAUACCCGCCGGAAUUGCGCACAAAAAUUCGGGAAUUUCGCCCAGAGCUGCCCGAAUCCCGGCGGGGGCGGGUCCCGGCCCCUCGCAGCCCUCACCUGCACAGGUCUUACACUGCAUGCUGAGCAACACAUUUGAUUUGCUUUCUCUUUGCUCUGUUUUUUUUUUAAGAGCUAACACCAGUGGGUCAGAAGGAACUCUGAACCCAGUGACUCUGACAUUUUGGGUGAUUCUUGGAGGUGAAAAAACAUAUUAGCAUACAAGACCUCACCUUAUUUGCUUUCCUGUCUUAAAACAGCAUUGGUUGCAAUAAGGUGUUAUAAAUCCUUUAGUUUUCUGAGCUGCCCUUAUUGGAGGCUUUCUGGGAAUCUCUUUGCUUUGGUUAGUUUUUAUUGCUUAUACUAUUUUGUUUCUACCCAAGCCUCAUGGUCUUUUUUCAGUUUUUCUCACACACAGACUUUUCAGGUCGCAGGUAUGAGAUGCGAUCAUUUACACAUAAGCUUUAAGAUCUCAGGUUCUGAAUUGGCUUGAUUAGGAGCCUUCAAUUUACACUUGGGGCAUGGAACAGCAAUACUAGCCUUUCUCACAAACUCUGCAUUGUAAUAGUACUCAUACAAGGUGCCAGCCUCUUAAUGCACCAAAAACUCCCGGGAAUUGCCUGCAGGCUAUUCCGUUUAUCACUUUGGCAUUUUUCCUUUAUUUAACCCCUCUUUUACAAAAUCUCAGUCUUUUCUAGUUCUCUUCUCGCACAAUCUAAUUAAAGCAUUGUUUCUACUGACACUUAUUUCGUUGCCCUGCAAAAGGCUGUGCCUGUUACAGCAAAAACUCUGAUAUGCUCACAAACACAGAACCCUGUCCUUAUCUCAAAUUCAAGGAGAGUCAGGGCUUAAGUUGUUGUGAGGGAGGAAUUCUUGGAAUUCCUUUGAUUUGUUUUACUACAGUUAAACAUAAAUCAUUAUAGUGUAGCUCUUCUGCAUAAAAUGCUACACUUGUUGCAAAAAAUAUCUUAAAAUCUCUAUAAAUGCAACUAUAUAAUCUCGAGAAUUAAAAUACUAUAAUGUGGGGGAAGAAUCACACAAACUCACUGGGAAACUCACUGGUGGUAUCUCUUAAAGUGUCCCCUUUUCUCAACACAGCACAGCAUAACAGCACACAGUAAAAUUCCAGGAAUCCAAGUCCGAACCACUGGGGCAGAGGAACCCCCCCAGUUCGUCUAGCCACUGUUCAAAUGCACACAAAUCACCGCCUUUAAACACAGUGAACGUCCUCAGCCCCGUUUCUCCGCUUGUUUCCCUUCCCCGCGGGCACUCCCUGCCCGCACAGCCGAUCCCAGCCGGGCCUCGGUUCUCACUCGGCCGCUUCAGACACGAGUGAACUUCUCCCCCCGCCCGCAGGUGCACUCCCUCGCUCCUGGUUCACCCUUCAUACAGCAGCACCCGCACGGCUGCAAACACAUGAACCGCACAGUGUCGGGCACCACCAGCACACAAAGCUCGGGUUCACUCGGCUCAGCCCAGAGCCGCUUGCGGCCGCUCUAUCGGAGCAGUGACCUCGUCUGCAGCCCAGCGCCCGAUCGGCCGGGCUGCCCCAGGCCCAGGAGCGAGGCCGGGCCCUGCCGGCUCUGAGGGACUGCCCAGCAGUGCUGCUCUGGCACCCCAGGGCCCUCUCAGUCCGUCCCUUUAUCGCACACCAGCGCUCCUUGGCUGUCUCCGCAGGUGGCAAGCGAGGCAGAGCGGAGCCCCUCCAGGGAAAUUCCCCGGGUGUGCCAAGGAGGUCUGUUCUACCCCCUGCCCCUGCGAGGACAGAAAAUCUCCUGCCUGGCUCGCCAUGAUGAAACACGGAUGAAAAUCAAACCCUACAAUUUUAAUAAAGAUUUGUAGGGAAUGGGAAAAUCCCCAUUCCCUGUUUCCUUGUGGCUGCAGCCUGGAACAUCCACUCAGAAUGAUGAACUUUCUGACAGCCCUGCUGAAUGACACCAGGACAAGGUUGGUGAGAAAGGGAGGAAAAUGUGUUUUGAUAGGAAAUUACAAAAUUA